This is a non-coding RNA of Ictidomys tridecemlineatus (thirteen-lined ground squirrel), 70 nucleotides long. The record is from Rfam. NCBI's taxonomy places the organism in Eukaryota, Metazoa, Chordata, Mammalia, Rodentia, Sciuridae.
GGGGAUAUAGCUCAGUUGGUAAAGUGCUUGUCUCGUAUGCAUAAGGCCCUGGGUUCAAUUCCCAGCACCA